UGGGCAGCCCUAGAAGGUGAAGACUUCUGUUUGUCCACAGCACAGGAAGAGAGGCACUGCAAGCCUCCCUGCUUUGCCGUGUCAGCUCUCUGCAGCCCUGAUUUAGCAGGAUCACAUAAGGAGCAGGAGGAUGUCCGUGCCCCUUCACACCUUCCUGGCAAAGGAGCUG
Molecule: unclassified non-coding RNA, 169 nt
Organism: Junco hyemalis (dark-eyed junco)
Lineage: Eukaryota; Metazoa; Chordata; Aves; Passeriformes; Passerellidae
Source: Ensembl